AACGAACGCUGGCGGCGUGGAUAAGACAUGCAAGUCGAACGGGAACUUCAGCUGUAGCAAUACAGUUGAGUUUAGUGGCGAACGGUGCGUAACACGUGGGCAAUCUGGCCGACGAAGUGGGGGAUAGGCUCGCCGAAAGGCGAAUUAAUACCGCAUAUGAUCAGGAAAGACAUCUUUCCGACAUCAAAGCCGGGGCAACCUGGCGCUUCUUGAUGAGCCCGCGGCCUAUCAGCUAGUUGGUGAGGUAACGGCUCACCAA
RNAcentral lists this ribosomal RNA (259 nucleotides) under uncultured bacterium. Its description in RNAcentral is "partial 16S ribosomal RNA". It matches the Rfam family "Bacterial small subunit ribosomal RNA", at positions 29 to 271 of the family's 1533-position model. The record is from RNAcentral.